CCACACAGGUCUAAACUAAGACCAAAGAUUCUGGACAGUGAGAGCAAGCCACAGACCUUCCAGAUUGCCAUCAACAUCACAGAGGCCAAACAGCUGGUGGGGGAGAACAUUGACCCUAGCGUAACCAUGGAGAUAGGAGACGAAAAGAAACAGACCACCGUCAAGGAGGGCACCAACGCCCCCUUCUUCAAUGAGUACUUCGUAUUUGAUUAUUAUGGCCAUCAAGAGAGAUUUUUUGACAAAGUCAUCAAACUAUCAGUG
Molecule: long non-coding RNA, 261 nt
Organism: Coregonus clupeaformis (lake whitefish)
Lineage: Eukaryota; Metazoa; Chordata; Actinopteri; Salmoniformes; Salmonidae
Exons: 3
Source: RefSeq, a predicted model, not a curated record